CGAUGGCUUCUGAGCACAAAUUCUGGAGACUUCCAUGAUGCCAGGGGUGGAGAGGUGCAAGAGAAUGGGGAGGAAUGCUGCUUGGUGCACCCCGGGACGAGUGUCAGCCCUUUGCUCCCUUCUCCUCCACCUGCACGGGCUUCGGGGGGACUAGAAGUUUGGGCCCCAUGUGGCCUCCUGCCUUAGGCUGUGCUGUCACUAACUUCUCUGAGCAGGAGAGCCAGGUGAGACACUGUCGGAGAGCUGUGGCUGUUCAGUGGGAAAAGUGGGAAGCUCAGCUCCCUGCCAGCCAGCUGCCUGGAAAAGUUUGCCAACUCCUGGUCCAGACCAUUGGAAACUGAGUCUAGCUGCUGACAUCACAUUCUAUGGAUACCUGCCUCCUUGUCCAUUUGCCAGGGCCUGCUCUGUUUCUCAAGAACUCCGUGGUGGAUGUUCUAGGACACAGCUGGAGACAGCGUCACAGGUGGAUUAAGAAGUUAC
Long non-coding RNA from Ailuropoda melanoleuca (giant panda), 480 nucleotides. RefSeq lists it as uncharacterized. The record is from RefSeq and is a predicted model, not a curated record. The transcript has 3 exons. Lineage: Eukaryota; Metazoa; Chordata; Mammalia; Carnivora; Ursidae.